This 242-nucleotide unclassified non-coding RNA is filed under the name Hevea brasiliensis (rubber tree). Lineage: Eukaryota; Viridiplantae; Streptophyta; Magnoliopsida; Malpighiales; Euphorbiaceae. The record is from RNAcentral.
UGAAGACCAAUUUGCAGCCAAAGCAGCCGAAAACUGUAGGUGGGAUGGGGAUUGGGAAGUAUAAUUUGCUUAGGAGAAGACAGAUUAAGGUAGAAACUGAAGCAUGGGAAGAUGCGGCUAAGGAGUAUCAGGAGUUGCUGAUGGAUAUGUGUGAGCAAAAGCUGGCACCAAACUUGCCGUAUAUUAAAUCUUUGUUCUUGGGUUGGUUUGAGCCAUUGAAGGAUGCCAUAGCUGCUGAACAG